AACGCGAAGAACCUUACCUACUCUUGACAUCUAUGGAAGCCAGCAGAGAUGCAGGUGUGCCUUCGGGAGCCAUAAGACAGGUGCUGCAUGGCUGUCGUCAGCUCGUGUCGUGAGAUGUUGGGUUAAGUCCCGUAACGAGCGCAACCCUUAUCCUUAGUUGCCAUCAGGUUAUGCUGGGAACUCUAGGGAGACUGCCGGUGACAAGCCGGAGGAAGGUGGGGACGACGUCAAGUCAUCAUGGCCCUUACGAGUAGGGCUACACGCGUGUUACAAUGGACGGUACAAAGGGCAGCGAAACCGCGAGGUGGAGCGAAUCUUAUCAAAGCCGUUCGUAGUCCGGAUUGGAGUCUGCAACUCGACUCCAUGAAGUUGGAAUCGCUAGUAAUCGUGGAUCAGAACGCCACGGUGAAUACGUUCCCGGGCCUUGUACACACCGACGCGUA
This 443-nucleotide ribosomal RNA is filed under the name uncultured bacterium. Its description in RNAcentral is "bacterial SSU rRNA". It matches the Rfam family "Bacterial small subunit ribosomal RNA", at positions 958 to 1399 of the family's 1533-position model. The record is from RNAcentral.